AGCUUCAGGCUGAACAAACUUUCAAAUUAUAACAUUUAAAGCAUGUAUCCUUUCCUUUAAUAACAGGAAUUAAUUAUUUAGUUCUAAUUUUUUUUAAAUCACAAUCAAGAUGCUUCUCUGCUAUUGUUUCAAUGGAAACAAUGAAGUCAAGUAACAGUGACUAAAUGUACUAAAUGACCAGUGACUUUAUUGUCUCCUAUAGCAGUGUCUUUCAACAAAGCAAAUAUGCAAAGUACAGUACAUUUAAAUUUAAAAUUUUUUUGCUAUCAAAAACCUGAUCUCAAUACAAUCGACAAAUAUCUUCUCUGAUUACCUUUUCAAGCAAAUAAAUCUUAUUACACUUCUGGAAUGACAAAAAAAAAUGACUUAAAAUUACAAAAAAAAAAAAUUUCACAAAUUACAAAAAAAAAAAAAAAAAAC
This is a non-coding RNA of Biomphalaria pfeifferi, 420 nucleotides long. The record is from the annotation of a GenBank genome assembly. NCBI's taxonomy places the organism in Eukaryota, Metazoa, Mollusca, Gastropoda, Planorbidae.